GUAAGUGCUGGAGACCUCAGGAUUUUAUUGUAGGGCACAUGGACUUUGUAUGAGAAUGUCAAAAACUCAUUUUGUCUUUAGCACAGGAAGAUGCUUGGCAAAGAGUUAAUGACACUAAAGAAUUCUUACAAAUGUUAUGGAUGGGUGUUAAUUUUCACAGAUAGGCAUUCAUUGUCAGAUGUUUAUGCUCUCCAUUCCUGAAACUCCUCCUGUCUGUGGAUCCCCAUCACAAGGAGGGGAGGGCUACCAUCCCAGCUGCAAACUCUCAUUCAAGGUUUAUGCUGCAGCCAGCAGUGUCCUUGGAGUCUAGUUCAAAGCUGAAGAGAGUGAACCAUGGAACUGGGAGCCAUUGGCGGAGAGGCUGGCCUGAAGGAAGGGAAGUGUUUCAGCCAGAAUGUACUGACGCACAACCAGGAAACCACAAGACUGAGUAACUACCAGUUGCCAUGAAAUAAAUCACAUCAUCAUAUGGCAGAUCCAGCUAAUAGCUGAGACUGGCAGGAUAACUGAACCGUGUACUCAGAGCUAAAUGAUGGAGAAAUUGGACUGGCCAUGGAGCACUUCAAAUUGAUUGCUUAGUAAUGGGAUAUUUUUCCUGGAAAGACAACAGAAUACUUCUGAAUUGUUGGUUCUGUCAUGGGUACAGGCUCCCAUGUACAGGAAAAUAAAGAAAGUGUGAUGAAUUUUUCAUCUGGCCUUCUGCCUACUUUCUUGCUUUCUGCAUGUCUCCAUUUUUAGUCUGUAAGCCCUGCCUAGAUGACCAAUCACUAUUGCCCAUGUGGCAUAAAACCUACAAUUUAACUAUACUUCUUACCAAACUCUCAGCAAGUAUGAGGUAGCCAACAGCCUUUUCAAGAUAAUGACUGAGUCUUAGCUUAGGUUUCAGUCAUUUUAGGAAACAUAAAAAAUUCAAUGGUGGGAGAUCAUACACACUCUGCAAAGAUGUCAGAAGUCAAGUUUUGGGAGAGUCCACACACAAACUGAGCAGUGAUGGUAAAAUAUAUUUUUGAAAUAUUUCUCCUCUGUGACUGUUAUGUGAAGUAGAGCAAACACAUUGUGCUGCAGUGCUCUUUGGGACAUGCCUUUUUUGGGAAGUGCUAACUUUAUACUCUGCUGACACCAAACAUUUGAAUAUAAAACCUUAUUUUUUUCUCUCACUCUGCUCCACUUUUGGCUCAGCUUAUUCUACCAAAACACACUUCAAAAGACUUCUUUAUAGAAAGAAUGUUUCAAAAAUAUAAUAUUUCCAUCUGUUAUUUCAAUAAUACAUGCUCUGGGACUCUCUUUAUGAACCACUUUCCUUUCUUUGCUCCCAUUUAGAUGUAUAAAUAUUUGAUUGUAAAGCUCUAAGGAAUAGUCAGCCAAUCGGGUCACUGAAUUGUGAACAUUCCUAACCCUAUAAUUUUGUCUGUAGCAGGCACCUCCUGCUGUGGAACUAACUGCUAAGGGAUUAUAGCAAUGUAAUCCUCAGACUGUUCCAUCUCAAGGUUACUCUGAAGUGGAGGGAAGGAAGCCGUUUUAAUUUUGAUAAAAUAAACUUUAUUUUGUAACUUUAUUAUUUGUUUUUCUUUUUCCUUUCAACACUUCAUAAUAGAUGUGUCUGGUAAUUUGAAGUUAGCCUCUCUGGUUGAGGUGCCCUAAACCACCUCGUAUUAUUGUA
Molecule: long non-coding RNA, 1660 nt
Filed under: Homo sapiens (human)
Lineage: Eukaryota; Metazoa; Chordata; Mammalia; Primates; Hominidae
Description: HSALNT0017334
Source: RNAcentral